GACUUUCUUCAGCAAAGAUGGCUGACAAAACAUUACGGGGAGGCAAAUGGUUAGGACUGUAACCACCAGAGGACUUGAAAAUGAGCCGGAGCUGAGAGGAUCACCAAAACUAAAGAGCUUACAACCAUGCGGACAACCAUCCGUGGAGAUCAGUGGAUAAAGGGCUGGACAACGGGCCACACCGAAAAAAAAAAACACAUGGUUGUCAAGAAAGCCGCCACUGUAAUCGAUGAGGGCUCAGGGCGGUACCAUUCUGCUCAUCUGAUGAAGGUGCUCAUGGAUGAGAUUCAAACUUUGAAGACCGAGAUCGAGUCAUUGAAGGCAGACCAGCAGAAAGAGAAACAUUAUCUGAGGGCAGAGAUACGGGCGACAGCUGAUGCAUUGGUCCAGAGUCAGGUGGUAUUGGUGGAGAGUCACUCCUCAUUGGCGGAGAGUCAGGUGGAGAUGUGUAACCGAAGAGAGAUACCACAAGUGGGCACAAAAUACAAACUGGGUUAGAUCCCGAGGCAAAUGUGGCUUAACAGUGAACCUCCGGGUGUUCAUCAUUAAUACUGUGUCUCAGAAGUUUCCGUCCAUGACUGAUGCAACCCGAAAAAUAAUGAGUACUUGAGGUCACCGAG
RNAcentral lists this long non-coding RNA (620 nucleotides) under Salmo salar (Atlantic salmon). Its description in RNAcentral is "lncRNA (ENSSSAG00000105170.1)". Lineage: Eukaryota; Metazoa; Chordata; Actinopteri; Salmoniformes; Salmonidae. The record is from RNAcentral.